AUUGCUUCUUGGCCUUUUGGCUAAGAUCAAGUGUGGUAUCUGUUCUUAUCAGUCUAAAGAUAAUCCCUGAUGCCCUGAACCUCUCCACUGGGCCUACCUCCUAGCUACCAGAAUUAGAUCAAGCCUCUAAUCCAACAGCCAUUAGCAUCAAUCCACUUGUUUAUUUAUUUAUACUUAUUUAUUUAUUUUUCCCCCAAAGAAACCUUU
Molecule: small nuclear RNA, 207 nt
Organism: Oryctolagus cuniculus (rabbit)
Lineage: Eukaryota; Metazoa; Chordata; Mammalia; Lagomorpha; Leporidae
Gene: U2
Rfam family: U2 spliceosomal RNA
About the family: U2 is a small nuclear RNA (snRNA) component of the spliceosome (involved in pre-mRNA splicing). Complementary binding between U2 snRNA (in an area lying towards the 5' end but 3' to hairpin I) and the branchpoint sequence (BPS) of the intron results the bulging out of an unpaired adenosine, on the BPS, which initiates a nucleophilic attack at the intronic 5' splice site, thus starting the first of two transesterification reactions that mediate splicing.
Source: Ensembl